UACGAACUGCGCAAACGUUAUUCGGAAUCACUGGGCUUACAGGGUGCGUAGGCGGCCGAUCAGGUCCGAUGUGAAAUCCCACGGCUCAACCGUGGAAUGGCAUUGGAAACCGACCGGCUUGAGUGAGCUAGAGGUGCACGGAACUUCCGGUGGAGCGGUGAAAUGUGUUGAGAUCGGAAGGAACACCAGAGGCGAAAGCGGUGCACUGGAGCUUGUCUGACGCUGAGGCACGAAAGCCAGGGGAGCGAACGGG
RNAcentral lists this ribosomal RNA (253 nucleotides) under uncultured bacterium. Its description in RNAcentral is "partial 16S ribosomal RNA". It matches the Rfam family "Bacterial small subunit ribosomal RNA", at positions 524 to 776 of the family's 1533-position model. The record is from RNAcentral.